Molecule: ribosomal RNA, 406 nt
Filed under: uncultured bacterium
Lineage: Bacteria
Description: partial 16S ribosomal RNA
Rfam family: Bacterial small subunit ribosomal RNA
Source: RNAcentral
AUUGAACGCUGGCGGCAGGCCUAACACAUGCAAGUCGAGCGAGCGGCGGACGUGUGAGAAAUGUAGGGAGCUCUGCCUUAUGGAGGGGGAUAACUACUGGAAACGGUAGCUAAUACCGCAUACCAUCAAAUGAACCCAUAUGGUAUUAGCUUGUAGGUGAGGUAACGGCUGACCUAGGAGACGAUCCCUAGCUGGUAUGAGAGGAUGAUCAGCCACACUGGGACUGAGACACGGCCCAGACUCCUACGGGAGGCAGCAGUGGGGAAUAUUGCACAAUGGGCGCAAGCCUGAUGCAGCCAUGCCGCGUGUAUGAAGAAGGCCUUCGGGUUGUAAAGUACUUUCAGUCGGGAGGCGUUACCGACAGAAGAAGCACCGGCUAACUCCGUGCCAGCAGCCGCGGUAAUAC